CUGAGAUGUUAUGAAUAUACACCUUGCACAGGAGAGACUUGCUACAAAGAGUCCAGGGAUAAUGUAAAGAUACGGAAGUGUUUUUCUCUUAAAGGACAGGAGAUAAGGUGACGCUUAGGGGACAAAAGAGGUGCAUGCUUUGUGUAGAGAAAACAGAGCUGAUCCAGCACAGCAGUAAACCCAGGCAUAUAAUUCUACCUAUUGCCACUGCUCACCAAACCACAUGGUGUAUUUCCUUUUGCCAGAUCAAAGCCAUGCCACAUGGAGCAGAACAAACAAAGCUUCAGCCAAGCAUUCUACCAAGUAGAGGGGAUGGGCAACCAGGCAGUGGUUCAGUUGUCACCGAGGUAAGGGUGGUUCCCAUCCCCCAGUACCAGGCAGAGCACAAGCAAGGCCUACAGCAAGCAGGAACACUGACCAAAGGGAAACCCAACUGUGCCUCUAUGGAGUUGCAGUCUUCAUGCUCCCAGGAUUGCUGUUUCUUUCCACAGUGUCUGAUAGACAGUAAUGUAGCAGGUCUAACUCUAACCCGUGUGGUGAUGCAGUAA
This 548-nucleotide long non-coding RNA is filed under the name Pogona vitticeps (central bearded dragon). Its description in RNAcentral is "lncRNA (ENSPVIG00000017028.1)". Lineage: Eukaryota; Metazoa; Chordata; Lepidosauria; Squamata; Agamidae. The record is from RNAcentral.